Molecule: ribosomal RNA, 405 nt
Filed under: uncultured bacterium
Lineage: Bacteria
Description: bacterial SSU rRNA
Rfam family: Bacterial small subunit ribosomal RNA
Source: RNAcentral
ACGGGUGCGUAACGCGUAUACAAUCUACCUUUUGCUGAGGGAUAGCCCAGAGAAAUUUGGAUUAAUACCUCAUGGUAUGUAGUAAUGGCAUCAUUACUAUAUUAAAGGUUACGGCAAAGGAUGAGUAUGCGUUCUAUUAGCUAGAUGGUAAGGUAACGGCUUACCAUGGCGACGAUAGAUAGGGGCCCUGAGAGGGGGAUCCCCCACACUGGUACUGAGACACGGACCAGACUCCUACGGGAGGCAGCAGUGAGGAAUAUUGGACAAUGGGCGCAAGCCUGAUCCAGCCAUGCCGCGUGCAGGAAGACUGCCCUAUGGGUUGUAAACUGCUUUUAUACAGGAAGAAACACUCCCUCGUGAGGGAGCUUGACGGUACUGUAAGAAUAAGGAUCGGCUAACUCCGUG